This 433-nucleotide ribosomal RNA is filed under the name uncultured bacterium. RNAcentral describes it as "partial 16S ribosomal RNA". It matches the Rfam family "Bacterial small subunit ribosomal RNA", at positions 29 to 507 of the family's 1533-position model. The record is from RNAcentral.
AACGAACGCUGGCGGCAGGCUUAACACAUGCAAGUCGAACGGAUCCUUCGGGAUUAGUGGCAGACGGGUGAGUAACGCGUGGGAACGUACCCUUUGCUACGGAAUAACUCAGGGAAACUUGAGCUAAUACCGUAUGUGCCCUACGGGGGAAAGAUUUAUCGGCAAAGGAUCGGCCCGCGUUGGAUUAGCUAGUUGGUGGGGUAAUGGCCUACCAAGGCGACGAUCCAUAGCUGGUCUGAGAGGAUGAUCAGCCACAUUGGGACUGAGACACGGCCCAGACUCCUACGGGAGGCAGCAGUGGGGAAUAUUGGACAAUGGGCGCAAGCCUGAUCCAGCCAUGCCGCGUGAGUGAUGAAGGUCUUAGGAUUGUAAAGCUCUUUCACCGGUGAAGAUAAUGACGGUAGCCGGAGAAGAAGCCCCGGCUAACUUCGUG